This is a long non-coding RNA of Salvia miltiorrhiza (redroot sage), 828 nucleotides long. RefSeq lists it as uncharacterized. The record is from RefSeq and is a predicted model, not a curated record. The transcript has 3 exons. NCBI's taxonomy places the organism in Eukaryota, Viridiplantae, Streptophyta, Magnoliopsida, Lamiales, Lamiaceae.
CCCACCCUAUCCUACCCCAAAUUUUCGUGCAUAGCCUCCCCAAAAGCAAGAGUGGCUACAAACUUCUCCCAUUCCAUCCAUUUUCACUCCAAGAAAGUGCUAAGACAAGAAAGUGCUCUCACUCUCUUCUUCCCUCUCCAUUUUCGUCCCUCCACAUCUCCCCCACUCCCAAGACUCUUCUCCCACCAUUAUCACACUCCAUAGAAGCCCUUGAAGCCCCAAGAGGAGUAUCAAAGCAAGGGAGAGCAUGGGAAAACUAGGGCGUAAAGUUAGAGUGAAGGUUGUGCUUCGAGGGAAUUGGUUCACAGGACGGUACCAUCGCUUAAGAUCACCUCUCUUCCACACCGAGGAUCAGGUUGAGCAGUGGCUGAUGGAGAUGAAGUGAAGAGCGGAGCUUUUGUCAUAGGUUAAAUGAAUGAACUCUUGGAUACAUGUCUUCAUACAUGUAAUCAGAUUAUGUUAUUCCGCUGCGUACUCUUAGGUUUUAUGUUCUUGCAGUUAAGCCAGUUUUAUCUAAACCUACAAGUCUGUUCGAGUCUUGUGACUAAACAUCAGGUGUAUUAUAAAUUUUCCCUUCUUUAAACAAAUUUUAGUUCGAUCCUCUAUUAUUUGUUCACCCCCUUUUUUGUCGCCGUCGAUAACUGUGUCCUUAGUUACGUUUUCCUGGCUUAUUUAUCCUUAAUUAAGUCCGGUCGUGACAGAAACUCCCUUUCUAUUGCCGUCGAUAACUGUGUCCCUUCGUCGCGGUUUCCCGGCUUAGUUAUCCUCAAUUAAGUCGAGUAGCGUCCGUGACAGAGUGGUAUCAGAGCAGUUCGUUUGCUCUGAAUC